AUGGAAUUUCCACCAACCCACUACCCAGCCUCCAAGGCAGCUGAUGACAAAGGACUGCCUCAACUACCAGUAGGGAGCACUUUAUAAGGUGUUUCUGGUGUAGCCGGUCAGACAAGCCAACAAGGAGGAUACUCGGGGAAGAGGACACAAGUGUCACCUUAAAUUUUCUGGGGAAGAAAUGAUUCAAAAACAAGUUACAGUGAGCUGCACAGCUGAAGUAUUUUGCCCCGCAGUAGAACAAGAUAUUGCCCCAGAAAUCAACUUCACAUUUGAAGGAGAAAUUGGAAAGAACCCAGAUGAAGAAGAUAACACAUUUUCUCAAGACUUGAGUCCAUAAAGGAACCACUAGAAGCACAAAACAUUCCAGACAGUUUGGGAAAUGUAUCACCAGAAAUGAAGCCAGUUUGACAUUUAGCCUGGGUGGCCUUUGUUUAUACAAUAUGGCAGAACUCUACCAAAAACACAUGGUAUAAAUUGGUAAAAAUUCAAACUGUCAAGCAAGUGCAAAGAAAUGAUGACUUCAUUGAAUUAGACUACACCAUCUACUGCAUUACAUCGCAUCUCAAGAGAUUAUUCCUUGGCAAAGGCAAGUUCUCUGGCAACAACAAUACAGUACUAAAGUAAAACACAAUAGCUGUCUGCCAAAGAAAGUACAACUGGAAUAAACAGAACCCCUAAUGCUGGGACAAAGUAUAAACACGCCUAUUAAUGAUGAGUUUGCCAGUCUUCACUGGUAUCUAGCUUAAGGGGCCAAACAUAUCCCAAAGUGUCACUUUGUAUUAAUGUCUUGAUUAUCGGAUAAAGCUAUGUAGAUUCCAUAAUACAAAGUGUCACUACAUAAAAAUGUCUUUGUAACAGUAAUAGUGCUAUGUAUAUCCCAAAAUAAAAAGUUUCUAUUUCAGCCUCAA
Carlito syrichta (Philippine tarsier) is the source of this 908-nucleotide RNA transcript. It is a transcript of the gene named latexin pseudogene, with no coding region annotated. NCBI's taxonomy places the organism in Eukaryota, Metazoa, Chordata, Mammalia, Primates, Tarsiidae. The record is from RefSeq and is a predicted model, not a curated record. The transcript has a single exon.